CCUACGGGUGGCAGCAGUGAGGAAUAUUGGUCAAUGGGCGGGAGCCUGAACCAGCCAAGCCGCGUGAAGGAAGAAGGCGCCAGGCGUCGUAAACUUCUUUUGUCGGGGAACAAAGGGCGCCACGCGUGGCGUUGUGAGUGUACCCGAAGAAAAAGCAUCGGCUAACUCCGUGCCAGCAGCCGCGGUAAUACGGAGGAUGCGAGCGUUAUCCGGAUUUAUUGGGUUUAAAGGGUGCGCAGGCGGGCCUUUAAGCCGGCGGUGAAAUCGCGGGGCUCAACCCCGCCGAGCCGUCGGAACUGGGGGCCUUGAGUGCGGCGGAGGCAUGCGGAAUGCGCGGUGUAGCGGUGAAAUGCAUAGAUAUCGCGCAGAACCCCGAUUGCGAAGGCAGCGUGCCGUGCCGCCACUGACGCUGAGGCACGAAAGCGCGGGGAUCGAACAGGAUUAGAUACCCCAGUAGUC
Molecule: ribosomal RNA, 459 nt
Filed under: uncultured bacterium
Lineage: Bacteria
Description: partial 16S ribosomal RNA
Rfam family: Bacterial small subunit ribosomal RNA
Source: RNAcentral